This 472-nucleotide long non-coding RNA is filed under the name Coffea arabica (coffee). RNAcentral's name for it is "long non-coding RNA (CARA_LNC007987)". The record is from RNAcentral. Lineage: Eukaryota; Viridiplantae; Streptophyta; Magnoliopsida; Gentianales; Rubiaceae.
GUUUUUUUUUUUUUUUUGGUUUAUUGUCACUAUCUACACCUACACCUACUCUAACCUAUACUUUCGAGAUGACCAAACAAGAUUACGACAAUCGACGGAAACUAAAUCACCAUCGGACCAUACCGCGCUACUGCUGGCAUCUGGCUGAUUGCUCCCAAGUAUAACCCGAAACUGUAUAAAAUGACCGAGAGUCGCUCAACUAAGAGAAGAUUUUGUGCUAAAAAUGAAAAAACAACACAAGUAAUCCCCCAAAAGGCACCUUUUACAACGACCUUAUGGUAAUGAACAGCUACGUCUAAACAAGGUGAAAAAUAAUGGGACUUGGAUCCUCUGAAUACCUAAAAAUGUGAUUGCAGAGAAUCCAAAUGGGAAUAUUGCUAUGUACAUUUGCAUCUUAAGUGUACUAUAAAUGGGAGGAACACUGUAAAUGAUUCAUAUCUACUUUACAGGUCAACAGAAUAUGUCGUUUGAG